GGGACAGCGGCGAACGGGGGAGUAACACGUGGAUAACCUGCCCUCGGCACCGGGAUAGCCCGGGGAAACCCGGAUUAAUACCGGAUGGCCCGACCGGCUCACGAGCCGGCCGGAAAAGGUAGCUUCGGCCUCCGGCCGAGGAUGGGUCCGCGGCGGAUUAGCUUGUUGGUGGGGUAACGGCCUACCAAGGCUCCGAUCCGUAGCUGGUCUGAGAGGACGAUCAGCCACACUGGGGCUGAGACACGGCCCAGACUCCUACGGGAGGCAGCAGUGGGGAAUCUUGCCCAAUGGGCGAAAGCCUGAGGCAGCGACGCCGCGUGAGGGAGGAAGGCCUUCGGGUUGUAAACCUCUUUCAGGAGGGACGAAGCUACUCGGGUGAAUAGCCCAGAGGGUGACGGUACCUCCAGAAGAAGCCCCGGCUAACUACGUGCCAGCAGCCGCGGUAAUACGUAGGGGGCAAGCGUUGUCCGGAUCUACUGGGCGUAAAGCGCGUGUAGGCGGCCGCGCAGGUCCGUUGUGAAAACUGGAGGCUCAACUUCCAGACGUCGACGGAAACCGUGUGGCUAGAGUCCGGAAGAGGAGAGUGGAAUUUCUGGUGUAGCGGUGAAAUGCGCAGAUAUCAGGAAGAACACCAAUGGCGAAGGCAGCUCUCUGGGACGGUACUGACGCUGAGACGCGAAAGCGUGGGGAGCGAACAGGAUUAGAUACCCUGGUAGUCCACGCCGUAAACGAUGGGUGCUAGGUGUGGGAGGUGUCGACUCCUUCCGUGCCGUAGCUAACGCAUUAAGCACCCCGCCUGGGGAGUACGGCCGCAAGGCUAAAACUCAAAGGAAUUGACGGGGCCCCGCACAAGCAGCGGAGCAUGUGGUUUAAUUCGAUGCAACGCGAAGAACCUUACCAGGGCUUGACAUGCACUGUAAAACCGUAGAAAUACGGUCCUCCUUCGGGACCAGUGCACAGGUGGUGCAUGGCUGUCGUCAGCUCGUGUCGUGAGAUGUUGGGUUAAGUCCCGCAACGAGCCGCAACCCCUGUCCCAUGUUGCCAGCGAGUAAUGUCGGGGGACUCAUGGGAGACUGCCGGUGACCAAUCCGGAGAAGGUGGGGAUGAUGUCAAGUCAUCAUGCCUCCUUAUGUCCUUGGGCUACACACGUGCUACAUUGGCCGGUACAAAGGGCUGCAAACCUGUGAGGGUGAGCGAAUCCCAAAAAGCCGGUCCCGGUUCGGAUUGAAGGCUGAAACUCGCCUUCAUGAAGGCGGAGUUGCUAGUAAUCGCGGAUCAGCAACGCCGCGGUGAAUACGUACACGGGGCUUGUACACACCGCCCGUCACACUACGAGAG
This 1338-nucleotide ribosomal RNA is filed under the name uncultured bacterium. RNAcentral describes it as "bacterial SSU rRNA". It matches the Rfam family "Bacterial small subunit ribosomal RNA", at positions 89 to 1410 of the family's 1533-position model. The record is from RNAcentral.